RNAcentral lists this unclassified non-coding RNA (958 nucleotides) under Hevea brasiliensis (rubber tree). The record is from RNAcentral. Lineage: Eukaryota; Viridiplantae; Streptophyta; Magnoliopsida; Malpighiales; Euphorbiaceae.
AUAAAAUUGCUUUAAAUAGAAUUUUCUGUUAACAAUAUCAUUGCUCUUUGCCAGGCUAGUAAAACAGUUGUUUUGCCCCUUUAUUUGGAAUUAUGAUAAAAGCUUUCGUGUCUAAAGAGCAUGAUGAUGAGAAACAGUAAAGAAGGGUCUUUGAGUUUGGAAUGUGGACAUGCAUAAAGUUUUAAUAGCAUAGGUUUACAAGCUGACUUUGCCUUUUAAGCUUUAUUGUACUUCUUGCACAGGUGCUGCAGAACAUUUACAUACUGUGCCUAUAAUGAGGGAUUGAAUUUAACUGCGAUUCUCCUUAAUAACAAAAAGUUGACCAAAAUAAUUUUUUGGCAUUGUUGAGCUUCUUGCUGGGUUCUUUUGUUAAUGUUAUUCUAUUGAUUGCUCUAACAAGGUUUAUGAGACUUUCAUGAAGAAAAGGCAGUUUAGCAGAUAGGGAUGCCGGUAGUUGCAUGAAGAAAUCACGAUAUAUUGUUUGAAAAUAUUUUAUCCUUUCAGUCAUAAUCAAGCUGUAGGAGUUGGUGCAUUGCGGCUUUUAAACAUGUUCUUUUCAUCUGAAGAGAACAAAUUUAUAUUGUUUUAUAUGCAGAUUUCAUAGCUUAGGCAUUGGACAGAGCCCUUGACUCGUGACAGCUUGUUGUCUGGAUGUAGUAAUUCCCUUAAUUAUGCAGCUUCUAAUCCUGCAUUAUGUGUUAACUCUCCAUUAUGAUGCAUAUUUUAUUGCUACACAUUAUCAGGUUUGCUGUUGGCCACUUACUAGUAAUGGAUUGGUGGCUGAAGGCUUAAACAGGAUUCAUCUAAUUGCUCCUAAAGCCAGGAGAGAAACUCACAUGCUUAUCAGCAACAGUUGCAACUUGUAAGUGCUCAAACUUUUUAUCUCCUCUAAUGCUUCAAGGCUCUAGAAAGAAACCAGGCAUGGGCAAAUGAGAGAGAAGAGGAAGAUGGAUGGGAG